This 208-nucleotide ribosomal RNA is filed under the name uncultured bacterium. RNAcentral describes it as "partial 16S ribosomal RNA". It matches the Rfam family "Bacterial small subunit ribosomal RNA", at positions 568 to 774 of the family's 1533-position model. The record is from RNAcentral.
CGCGUAGGUGGCCUGUUAAGUCGAACGUGAAAUACCCCGGGCUCAACCCGGGAACUGCGUCCGAGACUGGCAGGCUCGAAUCCGGGAGAGGGAUGUGGAAUUCCAGGUGUAGCGGUGAAAUGCGUAGAUAUCUGGAGGAACACCGGUGGCGAAGGCGGCAUCCUGGACCGGUAUUGACGCUGAGGCGCGAAAGCCAGGGGAGCAAACG